UACAUGGGGUGCAAACGUUGCUCGGAAUUAUUGGGCGUAAAGCGCGCGUAGGCGGUUACUCAAGUCGGAUGUGAAAGCCCUCGGCUUAACUGAGGAAGUGCACCCGAAACUGAGUAGCUAGAGUACUAAAGAGGGUCGCGGAAUUCCCGGUGUAGAGGUGAAAUUCGUAGAUAUCGGGAGGAACACCGGAGGCGAAGGCGGCGACCUGGGUAGAUACUGACGCUGAGGCGCGAAAGCGUGGGGAGCAAACAGG
RNAcentral lists this ribosomal RNA (253 nucleotides) under uncultured bacterium. RNAcentral's name for it is "partial 16S ribosomal RNA". It matches the Rfam family "Bacterial small subunit ribosomal RNA", at positions 524 to 776 of the family's 1533-position model. The record is from RNAcentral.